GAUCAGAUGCCAACCAUGUGAAGUGCCCAGAGGCAACUCCAAAACACCCGGCCCACCAGCGGGUAGAGGCUGCCAAGGAGCCAGAUGCUGUAGCUUUAAAAAUAUCUUCAGCUGCUUGGCAUGUGCAGUUGCAGGCUGGUGCCUGGGAGAAGGAGCAGGCCAGGUCUGGGACAGCCAGGCCGGCCGGCGGCAGCAACCCGCCUGUAUGUAAUGGAGAGCGCCUCUAGCCACAGGGCUGCCCAUUUGGCCUUGUUAAAUCACCCCCAGCAUAUGGGCUGGAGGGAACUGCAUUCUUCUGGCCGCUGUUUGAGUCCAAUUACAAUGCAGCCUCACUUGCAAUGGAUAAAAAUGUGAAUCGUGGAAGGCUGACUUCUAGGAUUCCGAAAAAGGCAAAAUGGAGAAACUGGGCCACUCCGUGUUGCUGGAUCAAGCCAUAACUGAAGACAGUGCUACCUUUGGACUUUUUACUU
This 470-nucleotide long non-coding RNA is filed under the name Mustela putorius furo (domestic ferret). Its description in RNAcentral is "lncRNA (ENSMPUG00000028033.1)". The record is from RNAcentral. Lineage: Eukaryota; Metazoa; Chordata; Mammalia; Carnivora; Mustelidae.